Molecule: transfer RNA, 76 nt
Filed under: Marmota monax (woodchuck)
Lineage: Eukaryota; Metazoa; Chordata; Mammalia; Rodentia; Sciuridae
Description: tRNA.Ser
Source: RNAcentral
GGGGAUGUGGCUUAGUGGGAGAGUAUAUGCAUAGAUUGCAUGUGCAGGGUCCUGGGCUCAAUCCCCAGCACCACAA